RNAcentral lists this ribosomal RNA (377 nucleotides) under uncultured soil bacterium. RNAcentral describes it as "bacterial SSU rRNA". It matches the Rfam family "Bacterial small subunit ribosomal RNA", at positions 26 to 409 of the family's 1533-position model. The record is from RNAcentral.
AGAUUGAACGCUGGCGGCAUGCCUUACACAUGCAAGUCGAACGGUAGAGUAGCGAUACUUGAGAGUGGCGAACGGGUGAGUAAUAUAUCGGAACGUGCCCAGUCGUGGGGGAUAACGUAGAGAAAUUUACGCUAAUACCGCAUACGAUCUAAGGAUGAAAGCGGGGGACUCGCAAGAGCCUCGCGCGAUUGGAGCGGCCGAUAUCAGAUUAGCUAGUUGGUGGGGUAAAAGCUCACCAAGGCGACGAUCUGUAGCUGGUCUGAGAGGACGACCAGCCACACUGGAACUGAGACACGGUCCAGACUCCUACGGGAGGCAGCAGUGGGGAAUUUGGACAAGUGGGCGCAAGCCUGAUCCAGCAAUGCCGCGUGCGAGGA